This 378-nucleotide ribosomal RNA is filed under the name uncultured bacterium. RNAcentral's name for it is "bacterial SSU rRNA". It matches the Rfam family "Bacterial small subunit ribosomal RNA", at positions 29 to 410 of the family's 1533-position model. The record is from RNAcentral.
AUUGAACGCUGGCGGCAUGCCUUACACAUGCAAGUCGAACGGUAACGCGGGGCAACCUGGCGACGAGUGGCGAACGGGUGAGUAAUAUAUCGGAACGUGCCCAGUAGUGGGGGAUAGCCCGGCGAAAGCCGGAUUAAUACCGCAUACGACCUAAGGGUGAAAGCGGGGGAUCGCAAGACCUCGCGCUAUUGGAGCGGCCGAUAUCAGAUUAGGUAGUUGGUGGGGUAAAGGCCUACCAAGCCGACGAUCUGUAGCUGGUCUGAGAGGACGACCAGCCACACUGGGACUGAGACAUGGCCCAGACUCCUACGGGAGGCAGCAGUGGGGAAUUUUGGACAAUGGGCGCAAGCCUGAUCCAGCCAUGCCGCGUGCGGGAAG